This 309-nucleotide ribosomal RNA is filed under the name Tetraclita japonica (Japanese acorn barnacle). RNAcentral's name for it is "partial 12S ribosomal RNA". Lineage: Eukaryota; Metazoa; Arthropoda; Thecostraca; Balanomorpha; Tetraclitidae. The record is from RNAcentral.
UUGGAAUAAUAGUAUUAAUGAAAUUUAACGGAUUUGGCGGCAAGAUAGCCCCUUAGAGGAACCUGCCCUGUAAACGAUGAACCACGAGGGACGUAACUUUCUUUGGUAAUCAGUUUGUAUACCGCUGUUGUCAGUUAGAUUCUUGAGAAUAUUUUCGUUUAUGAUAAUUUCAUUGACUUCAAGUAAAGGUGCAGCUUAUGUGAAAGGUAGAGGUGGGUUACAUUUAUAAGAAUAAAACGGAUAAGAUAAAUGAAAAGAUCUUUGAAGGUGGAUUUAACUGUAAAACUUAAGUAGGUUUGGUGAGAGCUC